Molecule: microRNA, 19 nt
Filed under: Ciona intestinalis (vase tunicate)
Lineage: Eukaryota; Metazoa; Chordata; Ascidiacea; Phlebobranchia; Cionidae
Description: cin-miR-4202-5p
Source: miRBase by way of RNAcentral
UGUGUGUUUCAUUUCGUUG